ACGCCUAACACAUGCAAGUCGAACGCAGUAGCAAUACUGAGUGGCGAACGGGUGAGUAUAAUGUGGGUAUCUGCCUUUUGGUUUGGAAUAACACGGGGAAACUUGUGCUAAUACCGGAUAAGCCUUUACAGGGAAAGUUUUAACGCCAAAAGAUGAGCCCAUACUUGAUUAGCUAGUUGGUAAGGUAAUAGCUUACCAAGGCUACGAUCAAUAGCUGAUCUGAGAGGAUGAUCAGCCACAUUGGGACUGAGACACGGCCCAAACUCCUACGGGGGGCAGCAGUGGGGAAUCUUGCACAAUGGGGGAAACCCUGAUGCAGCGAUGCCGCGUGAGUGAAGAAGGCCCUUGGGUUGUAAAGCUCUUUCGUCGGGGAAGAAAAUGACUGUACCCGAAUAAGAAGGUCCGGCUAACUUCGUGCCAGCAGCCGCGGUAAUACGAAGGGACCUAGCGUAGUUCGGAAUUACUGGGCUUAAAGAGCUCGUAGGUGGUUAGAAAAGUUGGUGGUGAAAUCCCAAGGCUUAACCUUGGAACUGCCACCAAAACUUUUUGACUAGAGUAUGAUAGAGGUAAGUGGAAUUUCUAGUGUAGAGGUGAAAUUCGUAGAUAUUAGAAAGAACACCAAUUGCGAAGGCAACUUUCUGGAUCAUUACUGACACUGAGGAGCGAAAGCAUGGGUAGCGAAGAGGAUUAGAUACCCUCGUAGUCCAUGCUGUAAACGAUGUGUGCUAGACGUUGGAAAUUUAAUUUUCAGUGUCGCAGCAAAAGCGUUAAGCACACCGCCUGGGGAGUACGACCG
This 796-nucleotide ribosomal RNA is filed under the name uncultured Pelagibacteraceae bacterium. RNAcentral's name for it is "bacterial SSU rRNA". It matches the Rfam family "Bacterial small subunit ribosomal RNA", at positions 44 to 888 of the family's 1533-position model. The record is from RNAcentral. Lineage: Bacteria; Pseudomonadati; Pseudomonadota; Alphaproteobacteria; Candidatus Pelagibacterales; Candidatus Pelagibacteraceae.